UAAAAACCCCGACUUCGGAAGGGGUAUAUUUAUUAGAUACAAAACCAAUGCCCUUCGGGGCUCUUUGGUGAUUCAUGAUAACUAUACGAAUCGCACGGCCUUGCGCCGGCGAUGGUUCAUUCAAAUUUCUUCCCUAUCAACUUUCGAUGUUUGGGUAUUGGCCAAACAUGGUUGCAACGGGUAACGGAGGGUUAGGGCUCGACCCCGGAGAAGGAGCCUGAGAAACGGCUACUACAUCCAAGGAAGGCAGCAGGCGCGCAAAUUACCCAAUCCCGACUCGGGGAGGUAGUGACAAUAAAUACUGAUACAGGGCCCUUUCGGGCCUUGUAAUUGGAAUGAGUACAAUUUAAAUCCCUUAACGAGGAACAAUUGGAGGGCAAGUCUGGUGCCAGCAGCCGCGGUAAUUCCAGCUCCAAUAGCGUAUAUUAAAGUUGUUGUGGUUAAAAAGCUCGUAGUUGAACCUUGGGCCUGGCUGGCCGGUCCGCCUCACCGCGUGCACUGGUCCGGCCGGGCCUUUCCCUCUGUGGAACCCCAUACCCUUCACUGGGCGUGGCGGGGAAACAGGACAUUUACUUU
Molecule: ribosomal RNA, 576 nt
Filed under: uncultured eukaryote
Lineage: Eukaryota
Description: SSU rRNA
Rfam family: Eukaryotic small subunit ribosomal RNA
Source: RNAcentral